This 451-nucleotide ribosomal RNA is filed under the name uncultured bacterium. Its description in RNAcentral is "bacterial SSU rRNA". It matches the Rfam family "Bacterial small subunit ribosomal RNA", at positions 354 to 796 of the family's 1533-position model. The record is from RNAcentral.
GUGGGGAAUUUUGCGCAAUGGGCGAAAGCCUGACGCAGCAACGCCGCGUGAGGGACGAAGGCCUUCGGGUUGUAAACCUCUUUUAACUGGGAAGAACCUCCCGCCUGCAAAUAGUUGGCGGGACUGACGGUACCGGUAGAAUAAGCCACGGCUAACUCUGUGCCAGCAGCCGCGGUAAGACAGAGGUGGCAAGCGUUGUUCGGAUUUAUUGGGCGUAAAGAGCGCGUAGGCGGUCUUUUAAGUCGGAGGUGAAAUCCCGGGGCUUAACCCCGGAACUGCCUUCGAUACUGGAAGACUUGAGUACGGGAGAGGGUAGUGGAAUUCCCAGUGUAGAGGUGAAAUUCGUAGAUAUUGGGAAGAACACCGGUGGCGAAGGCGGCUACCUGGACCGUAACUGACGCUGAGGCGCGAAAGCGUGGGUAGCAAACAGGAUUAGAUACCCGUGUAGUCC